Dendronephthya gigantea is the source of this 181-nucleotide long non-coding RNA. RefSeq lists it as uncharacterized. Lineage: Eukaryota; Metazoa; Cnidaria; Anthozoa; Malacalcyonacea; Nephtheidae. The transcript is spliced from 3 exons. The record is from RefSeq and is a predicted model, not a curated record.
GUCAUAAUUGCGGCCUAAAAGGUCAGAAAGCAUUUCAAUGCACUGAAGGAAGUUGUUAUAAUUGUGGCCUUAAAGGCGCCACAAAGUGAGAGAGUGUCGCAAAUCUUGUAAUCGAGAUGGAAACAGUAAGUCAUGAACAUUCCAGUGAAGAUCUUCACAGAUAGCAUCCAUUUACUCUAUG